UACGAAGGGACCUAGCGUAGUUCGGAAUUACUGGGCUUAAAGAGUUCGUAGGUGGUUGAAAAAGUUGGUGGUGAAAUCCCAGAGCUUAACUCUGGAACUGCCAUCAAAACUUUUCAGCUAGAGUAUGAUAGAGGAAAGCAGAAUUUCUAGUGUAGAGGUGAAAUUCGUAGAUAUUAGAAAGAACACCAAUUGCGAAGGCAGCUUUCUGGAUCAUUACUGACACUGAGGAACGAAAGCAUGGGUAGCGAAGAGGAUUAGAUACCCUCGUAGUCCAUGCCGUAAACGAUGUGUGUUAGACGUUGGAAAUUUAUUUUCAGUGUCGCAGCGAAAGCGAUAAACACACCGCCUGGGGAGUACGACCGCAAGGUUAAAACUCAAAUGAAUUGACGGGGACCCGCACAAGUAGUGGAGCAUGUGGUUUAAUUCGAAGAUACGCGCAGAACCUUACCAACACUUGACAUGUUCGUCGCGACUCUAAGAGAUUAGAGUUUUCGGUUCGGCCGGACGAAACACAGGUGCUGCAUGGCUGUCGUCAGCUCGUGUCGUGAGAUGUUGGGUUAAGUCCCGCAACGAGCGCAACCCUCACUUUUAGUUGCCAUCAUUAAGUUGAGCACUCUGAAAGAACUGCCAGUGAUAAGCUGGAGGAAGGUGGGGAUGACGUCAAGUCCUCAUGGCCCUUACGUGUUGGGCUACACACGUGCUACAAUGGUAUCUACAACAGGAAGCAAGACUGCAAAGUUAAGCAAAUCCCUAAAAGAUACCUCAGUUCGGAUUGCACUCUGCAACUCGAGUGCAUGAAGCUGGAAUUACUAGUAAUCGUGGAUCAGCGUGCCGCGGUGAAUGCGUUCCCGGGUCU
This 856-nucleotide ribosomal RNA is filed under the name uncultured bacterium. RNAcentral describes it as "SSU rRNA". It matches the Rfam family "Bacterial small subunit ribosomal RNA", at positions 524 to 1381 of the family's 1533-position model. The record is from RNAcentral.